CCAGUGAAGAGACAAGUAGUGCCCAGCUGGCUGGCUGUAACAUCCAAUAACCAUCACAUCAUCAUAACAUUCUUAACCUGUAGGAAUGGCUUUUAUCUGUACAGAAAAUAAGCUGGCAUAAAGACGAAAGUUUAAUCAACUUAUUCAAAAGGGUGGCCAGCUGAGUUGGACUCUUGAUGCUCCACAAAUGGCUGUUGGUACAAAAAUUAAAUUUCCUACGAAUGAUUACAUGCAAGUGGUGAGGAAUGUGUCAUUUGAUUAACACUUUUCUCUGAUACAAAAGUGUAAUAAGUAGUGUUGUGGUCACCAUACUGAAUAUGCUUACUAUGGGUCGCCACAAUCUUGAUCAUAUCACAGGUCAAAGAAGGCAGGUGGAACUAAAAGUUUCGUUAAUCCCACUCACCUUUAUAACGAUCUAUAUGGACUAUUUCUUUAGCAGGCCACGACACCACUGCUGUCUUUCAUUUCAUUGUGACUCUCAAGGGCGGCAGCAUGCUUAACCAACUUCCUGCAUAGAUGAUGGGCAUUCUGCCUAAUUGGAUGUUGACAUUCCAUGAAAAUGGUGUAAUUUCUAAUCUUUUUAAAGAUUUGAUGUAUUUUCUCAAGGCUUCUAACAGUAUUUCAACGUAAA
Molecule: long non-coding RNA, 631 nt
Organism: Schistocerca gregaria
Lineage: Eukaryota; Metazoa; Arthropoda; Insecta; Orthoptera; Acrididae
Exons: 3
Source: RefSeq, a predicted model, not a curated record